GACGAACGCUGGCGGCGUGCCUAAUACAUGCAAGUAGAACGCUGAAGGAGGAGCUUGCUCUUCUGGAUGAGUUGCGAACGGGUGAGUAACGCGUAGGUAACCUGCCUGGUAGCGGGGGAUAACUAUUGGAAACGAUAGCUAAUACCGCAUAACAGUAGAUGUUGCAUGACAUUUGCUUAAAAGGUGCAAUUGCACCACUACCAGAUGGACCUGCGUUGUAUUAGCUAGUUGGUGGGGUAACGGCUCACCAAGGCGACGAUACAUAGCCGACCUGAGAGGGUGAUCGGCCACACUGGGACGGAGACACGGCCCAGACUACUACGGGAGGCAGCAGAAGGGAAUCUUCGGCAAUGGACGGAAGUAUGACCGAGCAACGCCGAGUGAGUGAAGAAGGGUUUCGGAUCGUAAAGCUCUGUUGUAAGAGAAGAACGAGGGUGAGAGUGGAAAGUUCACACUGUGACGGUAUCUUACCAGAAAGGGACGGCUAACUACGUG
This 495-nucleotide ribosomal RNA is filed under the name uncultured bacterium. RNAcentral's name for it is "partial 16S ribosomal RNA". It matches the Rfam family "Bacterial small subunit ribosomal RNA", at positions 28 to 507 of the family's 1533-position model. The record is from RNAcentral.